Molecule: ribosomal RNA, 253 nt
Filed under: uncultured bacterium
Lineage: Bacteria
Description: partial 16S ribosomal RNA
Rfam family: Bacterial small subunit ribosomal RNA
Source: RNAcentral
UACGGGGGGGGCAAGCGUUGUUCGGAAUUACUGGGCGUAAAGGGUUCGUAGGUGGCUUGCUCAGUCAGACGUGAAAUCCCUCAGCUUAACUGGGGAACUGCGUCUGAUACUGGAUGGCUUGAGUUCGGGAGAGGGAUGCGGAAUUCCAGGUGUAGCGGUGAAAUGCGUAGAUAUCUGGAGGAACACCGGUGGCGAAGGCGGCAUCCUGGACCGGUAUUGACGCUGAGGCGCGAAAGCCAGGGGAGCAAACGGG